GAUGAACGCUGGCGGCGUGCCUAAUACAUGCAAGUCGAGCGAACAGACGAGGAGAUUGCUCCUCUGACCUUAGCGGCGGACGGGUGAGUAACAAGUGGAUAACCUAACUAUAAGACUGGGAUUAAUACGGGAAACCGGAGCCAAUACAGGAUAAUAUAUUGAACCGAAAGGUAUAAUAGUGCAAGACGGUUUUGCUGUCACUUAUAGAUUGAACCACGCCGGAUUAGCUAGGUGGUAAGGUAACGGCUUAACAAGGCAACGAUGCGCAGCCGACCUGAAAGAGGGAACGGGCACACUGGAACUGAGACACGAUCCAGACACCUACGGUAGGCAGCAGUAGGGAAUCUUACGGAAUGAACGAAUGCCUAACAUAGCAAAGCCGCGGGAGUUAUGAUGGUCUUCGGAUCGGUAAACUCAGUAAUUAGGGAAGUAGAAAUGUUUAUGUAACUAUGCAGGUCUUGACGGUACCUAAUCAGAAAGCCACGGCUAACUACGUG
This 497-nucleotide ribosomal RNA is filed under the name uncultured bacterium. RNAcentral's name for it is "partial 16S ribosomal RNA". It matches the Rfam family "Bacterial small subunit ribosomal RNA", at positions 28 to 507 of the family's 1533-position model. The record is from RNAcentral.